RNAcentral lists this ribosomal RNA (259 nucleotides) under uncultured bacterium. RNAcentral describes it as "partial 16S ribosomal RNA". It matches the Rfam family "Bacterial small subunit ribosomal RNA", at positions 100 to 354 of the family's 1533-position model. The record is from RNAcentral.
GAACGGGUGAGUAACACGUGGGCAACCUGCCCAAANAGGGGAGUAACACUUGGAAACAGGUGCUAAUACCGCAUAACCAUAGUUACCGCAUGGUAACUAUGUAAAAGGUGGCUAUGCUACCGCUUUUGGAUGGGCCCGCGGCGCAUUAGCUAGUUGGUGGGGUAAAGGCUUACCAAGGCAAUGAUGCGUAGCCGAACUGAGAGGUUGAUCGGCCACAUUGGGACUGAGACACGGCCCAAACUCCUACGGGAGGCAGCAG